CGAGGGCGACCAGGGUCUGAGC
RNAcentral lists this microRNA (22 nucleotides) under Pristionchus pacificus. RNAcentral describes it as "ppc-miR-8218a-5p". The record is from miRBase by way of RNAcentral. Lineage: Eukaryota; Metazoa; Nematoda; Chromadorea; Rhabditida; Neodiplogasteridae.